AUGUUUAAAAAUACGUUUCAUCCAUUAUAUAGCUGUUAUGCUAUUACUAGGGUACACACUAUUUUCUAAAUUAUUCGAUUCUCUACCACCUAGUCAACUUAUUUUGGUCGUCGUGGAAAUUCUAAACGACCGUGUGGUAAAUUAUAUGAUCGCUAUUUUAAUAAUCGAAAAGGAAAAAAAUUUACCUACGUGUUCAAACACACCAAGAGGCAACGACACGAGUACAAAAACAGACCUUUCCUGAACUGGACGAAAUUUUAUCCAAAAAAAUUCAAGUUUGGCGGAAAUAUAAUGAUAGCCCACUAGAGGAAAUUGUGGAGAAGUGGAAAACGACACAUCUAUAUAGAAAUAUUUAUCUCAUGAAUUCAUUGGAAAGAGGGGAAACGAUAUCCGCAUUUAUAAUCGAAUGGCCUUUGUACAAACAUUGUGUUCUUGGACCACAGCUGAUCAAUUGUGAUUUUGAUAUACUCUAUCCGAACAAAGGAACAAAUUUGCAUACAAAGUGGGAAGAUUUCGUGCCAUUAAUAUACAGCUAUUAUAAGAAAAAUAAAAGGACAAAGUUUCCCGAGAAAUUUUAAUUCAAUUGGAAAAUCAAAACCUCGCUGCAGGUACUAGAAAUUAUAUUUGGGGUAUUCACAACGGUGUC
Molecule: unclassified non-coding RNA, 646 nt
Filed under: Rhagoletis pomonella (apple maggot)
Lineage: Eukaryota; Metazoa; Arthropoda; Insecta; Diptera; Tephritidae
Description: uncharacterized LOC118756644, transcript variant X1
Source: RNAcentral